Molecule: ribosomal RNA, 497 nt
Filed under: uncultured bacterium
Lineage: Bacteria
Description: partial 16S ribosomal RNA
Rfam family: Bacterial small subunit ribosomal RNA
Source: RNAcentral
GAUGAACGCUGGCGGCGUGCCUAAUACAUGCAAGUCGAGCGAACGGACGAGAAGCUUGCUUCUCUGAUGUUAGCGGCGGACGGGUGAGUAACACGUGGAUAACCUACCUAUAAGACUGGGAUAACUUCGGGAAACCGGAGCUAAUACCGGAUAAUAUUUUGAACCGCAUGAUUCAAAAGUUAAAGACGGUCUUGCUGUCACUUAUAGAUGGAUCCGCGCUGCAUUAUCUAGUUGGUAAGGUAACGGCUUACCAAGGCAACGAUGCAUAGCCGACCUGAGAGGGUGAUCGGCCACACUGGAACUGAGACACGGUCCAGACUCCUACGGGAGGCAGCAGUAGGGAAUCUUCCGCAAUGGGCGAAAGCCUGACGGAGCAACGCCGCGUGAGUGAUGAAGGUCUUCGGAUCGUAAAACUCUGUUAUUAGGGAAGAACAUAUGUGUAAGUAACUGUGCACAUCUUGACGGUACCUAAUCAGAAAGCCACGGCUAACUACGUG